Molecule: ribosomal RNA, 253 nt
Filed under: uncultured bacterium
Lineage: Bacteria
Description: partial 16S ribosomal RNA
Rfam family: Bacterial small subunit ribosomal RNA
Source: RNAcentral
UACGUAGGGCGCAAGCGUUAUCCGGAUUUAUUGGGCGUAAAGAGCUCGUAGGCGGUCUGUCGCGUCUGGUGUGAAAACUCGAGGCUCAACCUCGAGCUUGCAUCGGGUACGGGCAGACUAGAGUGCGGUAGGGGAGACUGGAAUUCCUGGUGUAGCGGUGGAAUGCGCAGAUAUCAGGAGGAACACCGAUGGCGAAGGCAGGUCUCUGGGCCGCAACUGACGCUGAGGAGCGAAAGCAUGGGGAGCGAAUGGG